RNAcentral lists this ribosomal RNA (254 nucleotides) under uncultured bacterium. Its description in RNAcentral is "partial 16S ribosomal RNA". It matches the Rfam family "Bacterial small subunit ribosomal RNA", at positions 524 to 776 of the family's 1533-position model. The record is from RNAcentral.
UACGAAGGGGGCUAGCGUUGCUCGGAAUCACUGGGCGUAAAGGGCGCGUAGGCGGCCAUUCAAGUCGGGGGUGAAAGCCUGUGGCUCAACCACAGAAUUGCCUUCGAUACUGUUUGGCUUGAGUUUGGUAGAGGUUGGUGGAACUGCGAGUGUAGAGGUGAAAUUCGUAGAUAUUCGCAAGAACACCAGUGGCGAAGGCGGCCAACUGGACCAACACUGACGCUGAGGCGCGAAAAGCGUGGGGAGCAAACAGG